UUUCCGUAGGUGAACCUGCGGAAGGAUCAUUACAGAGGUUUUAUCCUUUUAUUGUGAAUUUUGUAUCUGGUGUGUAUGUGUAAAAACGAGUGCGAAGCACGAGUUGUGAAAGCAAUAUUGUGAAAGCAACGUGCCGAAACAUUCGUCUCAUAUACAUACGCACCGAUUUUUACACCAUAUAACGUCUGAAGAAAAGAAAUGAAAAACUUUCAACAAUGGAUCUCUUGGCUCUGGCAUCGAUGAAGAACGCAGC
RNAcentral lists this unclassified non-coding RNA (253 nucleotides) under uncultured fungus. RNAcentral describes it as "sequence contains ITS1, 5.8S rRNA gene". The stretch from base 205 to 253 matches the Rfam family "5.8S ribosomal RNA", at positions 1 to 49 of the family's 154-position model. The record is from RNAcentral. Lineage: Eukaryota; Fungi.